UCCCUGGUGGCUCAGAUGGUAAAGCGUCUGCCUGCGAUGUGGGAGACCCGGGUUCGAUUCCUGGGUCGGGAA
Ovis aries (sheep) is the source of this 72-nucleotide transfer RNA. It matches the Rfam family "tRNA". From Rfam's summary of the family: Transfer RNA (tRNA) molecules are approximately 80 nucleotides in length. Their secondary structure includes four short double-helical elements and three loops (D, anti-codon, and T loops). The record is from Rfam. NCBI's taxonomy places the organism in Eukaryota, Metazoa, Chordata, Mammalia, Artiodactyla, Bovidae.